This 492-nucleotide ribosomal RNA is filed under the name uncultured bacterium. Its description in RNAcentral is "partial 16S ribosomal RNA". It matches the Rfam family "Bacterial small subunit ribosomal RNA", at positions 29 to 507 of the family's 1533-position model. The record is from RNAcentral.
AGUGAACGCUGGCGGUAGGCCUAACACAUGCAAGUCGAACGGCAGCACAGUAAGAGCUUGCUCUUACGGGUGGCGAGUGGCGGACGGGUGAGGAAUACAUCGGAAUCUACUUUUUCGUGGGGGAUAACGUAGGGAAACUUACGCUAAUACCGCAUACGACCUACGGGUGAAAGCAUGGGAUCUUCGGACCUUGCGCGAUUGAAUGAGCCGAUGUCGGAUUAGCUAGUUGGCGGGGUAAAGGCCCACCAAGGCGACGAUCCGUAGCUGGCCUGAGAGGAUGAUCAGCCACACUGGAACUGAGACACGGUCCAGACUCCUACGGGAGGCAGCAGUGGGGAAUAUUGGACAAUGGGCGCAAGCCUGAUCCAGCCAUACCGCGUGGGUGAAGAAGGCCUUCGGGUUGUAAAGCCCUUUUGUUGGGAAAGAAAAGCAGCAGGUUAAUACCCCGCUGUUCUGACGGUACCCAAAGAAUAAGCACCGGCUAACUUCGUG